UGGUUCUGGCAUCGAUGAAGAACGCAGCGAAAUGCGAUAAGUAAUGCGAAUUGCAGAAUUCCAGUGAGUCAUCGAAUCUUUGAACGCACAUUGCGCCCUUUGGCAUUCCAAAGGGCAUACCUGUCCGAGCGUCAUUAUCACCCCUCGAGCCCCGUGCUCGGUGUUGGACGGCCUUGGUCGAGUAACAUCGACCCCUCCUAAAGACAAUGACGGCGGCCUGUGGAUCCCCCGGUACACCGAGCUUCAAAGGCGAGCACGUACCGGACGAGGGCGCCCAGGACCCGGUCCCUCUCCUCUUAAGGAGGAAAUCUCUUUGCAAGGUUGACCUCGGAUCAGGUAGGGAUACGCGCUGA
Molecule: unclassified non-coding RNA, 353 nt
Filed under: uncultured fungus
Lineage: Eukaryota; Fungi
Description: partial contains 5.8S ribosomal RNA and internal transcribed spacer 2
Rfam family: 5.8S ribosomal RNA (bases 1-134)
Source: RNAcentral